ACCACAGUCCAGGGAAGAUAGCCUCCAGGAGGGAGGUGAGUGAUGUAGCCAUCACCACAGAAGAGAUAUGCUGAUGAGGCUGCAUCUGUUCCAGGAUGGGGUCCUGAGCCCAGAGGCAACAAAUGAGCUGGGACUUGAAUGACACGAAGAGUGUGGUCCUGGGGUCUCAGCAUUCUUGACUGAGGAAGCAGGAAGUGCAAAGAUCCUGAGGUGAGAAUGAGCCCUCAAGAAGGAAGCCCAGUGCUUCUGGAACAUGGAUGGAGGAAGAGAACCAUGAGUCAAGGAAUGGGCACAGCUUAUAGAAGUUGGAAAAAAGCAAGAAAAUGGAUUCUCUCUAGAGCCUCCAGGAGGAUCAUGGCUCUGCUGACACCUGUUUAGCCCAGUGAGACCCUUUUCAGAUUUUUGACCUCCAGUAUAGUAAGACAAUAAAUUAGUGUCAUUUGACAUCA
Leopardus geoffroyi (Geoffroy's cat) is the source of this 449-nucleotide long non-coding RNA. RefSeq lists it as uncharacterized. The record is from RefSeq and is a predicted model, not a curated record. NCBI's taxonomy places the organism in Eukaryota, Metazoa, Chordata, Mammalia, Carnivora, Felidae. The transcript has 3 exons.